GCGAAAGUUGGCCUAAUGCCCUAUGUAGUCGUUUGAUCGCCUGAGAUUUCGACGAAAGAUUAUCGGUAUUUGGAUGGGGGAUGCGUCUGAUUAGCUUGUUGGCGGGUAAAGGCCCACCAAGGCAACGAUCCAGUAGGGGUUCUGAGAGGAAGGUCCCCCACAUUGGAACUGAGACACGGUCCAAACUCCUACGGGAGGCAGCAGUGAGGAAUAUUGGUCAAUGGGCGAGAGCCUGAACCAGCCAAGUAGCGUGCAGGAUGACGGCCCUAUGGGUUGUAAACUGCUUUUAUAUGGGAAUAAAGUGAGGGACGUGUCCCUUAUUGCAUGUACCAUACGAAUAAGGACCGGCUAAUUCCGUGCCAGCAGCCGCGGUAAU
RNAcentral lists this ribosomal RNA (376 nucleotides) under uncultured Prevotella sp. RNAcentral describes it as "bacterial SSU rRNA". It matches the Rfam family "Bacterial small subunit ribosomal RNA", at positions 151 to 524 of the family's 1533-position model. Lineage: Bacteria; Pseudomonadati; Bacteroidota; Bacteroidia; Bacteroidales; Prevotellaceae. The record is from RNAcentral.